Molecule: transfer RNA, 68 nt
Filed under: uncultured Catenibacillus sp.
Lineage: Bacteria; Bacillati; Bacillota; Clostridia; Lachnospirales; Lachnospiraceae
Rfam family: tRNA
About the family: Transfer RNA (tRNA) molecules are approximately 80 nucleotides in length. Their secondary structure includes four short double-helical elements and three loops (D, anti-codon, and T loops).
Source: RNAcentral
UAAUAUGGCUCAGUCGGUAGAGCGACGCACUCGUAAUGCGUAGGUCGGGGGUUCGAUUCCCCCUAUUA